UACAGAGGGUGCAAGCGUUGUUCGGAAUUAUUGGGCGUAAAGCGCGUGUAGGCGGCUUUGCAAGUCGGGUGUGAAAGCCCCCGGCUCAACUGGGGAGGGUCACGCGAUACUGAUCGACUGGAAGGCAGGAGAGGGUAGUGGAAUUCCCGGUGUAGUGGUGAAAUGCGUAGAUAUCGGGAGGAACACCAGUGGCGAAGGCGACUACCUGGCCUGUUCUUGACGCUGAGGCGCGAAAGCUAGGGGAGCAAGCGGG
This 253-nucleotide ribosomal RNA is filed under the name uncultured bacterium. RNAcentral describes it as "partial 16S ribosomal RNA". It matches the Rfam family "Bacterial small subunit ribosomal RNA", at positions 524 to 776 of the family's 1533-position model. The record is from RNAcentral.